This 126-nucleotide unclassified non-coding RNA is filed under the name soil metagenome. Its description in RNAcentral is "partial internal transcribed spacer 1". The record is from RNAcentral.
AAGAAUUUAAAGAGUGCACUUCAUUGUGGCUCGACAUUUUCUACCAUUCACCCUAGUGCACCGUAAUACCUUUUUUUAUUAGACUCUACAAAGUUAAUGAACGUAACACUUUUUUAUAAAGAAAUA